GGAGGGCAAGUCUGGUGCCAGCAGCCGCGGUAAUUCCAGCUCCAAUAGCGUAUAUUAAAGUUGUUGCAGUUAAAAAGCUCGUAGUUGAAUUUCGGGAUCAAUAUGUUGGUCGUGCCUUGGUACGUACUAGUUUAUUGGUUUCUUCCUUCUGACGAACCAUGAUGUCAUUAAUUUGGUGUCUUGGGGAAUCAGGACUGUUACUUUGAAAAAAUUAGAGUGUUUAAAGCAGGCUCACGCUUGAAUACAUUAGCAUGGAAUAAUGAAAUAGGACGUUUGAUUCUAUUUUGUUGGUUUCUAGGAUCGACGUAAUGAUUAAUAGGGAUAGUUGGGGGCAUUAGUAUUCAAUUGUCAGAGGUGAAAUUCUUGGAUUUAUUGAAGACUAACUACUGCGAAAGCAUUUGCCAAGGAUGUUUUCAUUAAUCAAGAACGAAAGUUAGGGGAUCGAAGACGAUCAGAUACCGUCGUAGUCUUAACCAUAAACUAUGCCGACUAGGGAUCGGAUGAUGUUAAUUUUUUAAUGACUCAUUCGGCGCCUUACGGGAAAC
RNAcentral lists this ribosomal RNA (545 nucleotides) under uncultured Glomeromycotina. Its description in RNAcentral is "SSU rRNA". It matches the Rfam family "Eukaryotic small subunit ribosomal RNA", at positions 550 to 1098 of the family's 1831-position model. The record is from RNAcentral. Lineage: Eukaryota; Fungi; Glomeromycota.